Molecule: ribosomal RNA, 468 nt
Filed under: uncultured bacterium
Lineage: Bacteria
Description: partial 16S ribosomal RNA
Rfam family: Bacterial small subunit ribosomal RNA
Source: RNAcentral
GACGAACGCUGGCGGCGUGCCUAACACAUGCAAGUCGAACGGAAAGGCCCUGCUUUUGUGGGGUGCUCGAGUGGAGAACGGGUGAGUAACACGUGAGUAACCUGCCCUUGACUUUGGGAUAACUUCAGGAAACUGGGGCUAAUACCGGGUAGGAGCUCCUGCCUCAUGGUGGGGGUUGGAAAGUUUCGGCGGUUGGGGUUGGACUUGCGGCUCAUCGGCUUGUUGGUGGGGUAGUGGCUUACCAAGGCUUUGCCGGGUAGCCGGCCUGACAGGGUGAACAGGCACAUUGGGACUGGGAUACGGCCCAGACCCCAACGGGAGGGAGCAGUGGGGAAGGUGACACAAUGGGAGGAAGCCUGAUGCAGCAACGCCGCGUGCGGGAUGACGGCCAUCGGGUUGUAAACCGCUUUCGCCUGUGACGAAGCGUGAAUGACGGUAAUGGGUAAAGAAGCACCGGCUAACUACGUG